This 243-nucleotide ribosomal RNA is filed under the name uncultured bacterium. RNAcentral describes it as "partial 16S ribosomal RNA". It matches the Rfam family "Bacterial small subunit ribosomal RNA", at positions 15 to 253 of the family's 1533-position model. The record is from RNAcentral.
GAUCAUGGUUCAGAUUGAACGCUGGCGGCAGGCCUAACACAUGCAAGUCGAACGGUAACAGGAAGCAGCUUGCUGCUUUGCUGACGAGUGGCGGACGGGUGAGUAAUGUCUGGGAAACUGCCUGAUGGAGGGGGAUAACUACUGGAAACGGUAGCUAAUACCGCAUAACGUCGCAAGACCAAAGAGGGGGGACCUUCGGGCCUCUUGCCAUCGGAUGUGCCCAGAUGGGAUUAGCUAGUAGGG